RNAcentral lists this ribosomal RNA (436 nucleotides) under uncultured Anaerovorax sp. RNAcentral's name for it is "partial 16S ribosomal RNA". It matches the Rfam family "Bacterial small subunit ribosomal RNA", at positions 341 to 792 of the family's 1533-position model. Lineage: Bacteria; Bacillati; Bacillota; Clostridia; Peptostreptococcales; Anaerovoracaceae. The record is from RNAcentral.
ACGGGAGGCAGCAGUGGGGAAUAUUGCACAAUGGGCGAAAGCCUGAUGCAGCAACGCCGCGUGAAGGAUGAAGGCCUUUGGGUCGUAAACUUCUGUCCUUGGGGACGAAACAAAUGACGGUACCCUUGGAGGAAGCCCCGGCUAACUACGUGCCAGCAGCCGCGGUAAUACGUAGGGGGCGAGCGUUAUCCGGAAUUAUUGGGCGUAAAGAGUGCGUAGGUGGUCUUUUAAGCGCGGGGUGAAGGGCAAUGGCUUAACCAUUGUUAGCCUUGCGAACUGGGAGACUUGAGUGCAGGAGAGGAAAGCGGAAUUCCUAGUGUAGCGGUGAAAUGCGUAGAUAUUAGGAGGAACACCAGUGGCGAAGGCGGCUUUCUGGACUGUAACUGACACUGAGGCACGAAAGUGUGGGGAGCAAACAGGAUUAGAUACCCUGGUA